This 452-nucleotide ribosomal RNA is filed under the name uncultured bacterium. RNAcentral's name for it is "bacterial SSU rRNA". It matches the Rfam family "Bacterial small subunit ribosomal RNA", at positions 365 to 818 of the family's 1533-position model. The record is from RNAcentral.
UUCGCAAUGCCCGAAAGGCUGACGCAGCGACGCCGCGUGGAGGAUGACGCCCUUCGGGGUGUAAACUCCUGUUGCCCGGGACGAAUACCCGUUUCGACGGGGGUGACGGUACCGGGUGAGGAAGCACCGGCUAACUCUGUGCCAGCAGCCGCGGUAAUACAGAGGGUGCGAGCGUUGUCCGGAAUCACUGGGCGUAAAGGGCGCGUAGGCGGCUGGGUAAGCGUGUGGUGAAAGCCCGGGGCUCAACCCCGGGUCGGCCAUGCGAACUGUCCAGCUGGAGCACGGUAGAGGCACAUGGAAUUCCGGGUGUAGCGGUGGAAUGCGUAGAGAUCCGGAAGAACACCGGUGGCGAAGGCGGUGUGCUGGGCCGUAGCUGACGCUGAGGCGCGACAGCGUGGGGAGCAAACAGGAUUAGAUACCCUGGUAGUCCACGCCGUAAACGAUGGGCACUA